GUGACUGCGUACCUUUUGUAUAAUGGGUCAGCGACUUAUAUUCUGUAGCAAGGUUAACCGUAUAGGGGAGCCGGAGGGAAACCGAGUCUUAAUUGGGCGUUAAGUUGCAGGGUAUAGACCCGAAACCCGGUGAUCUAGCCAUGGGCAGGUUGAAGGUUGGGUAACACUAACUGGAGGACCGAACCGACUAAUGUUGAAAAAUUAGCGGAUGACCUGUGGCUGGGGGUGAAAGGCCAAUCAAACCGGGAGAUAGCUGGUUCUCCCCGAAAGCUAUUUAGGUAGCGCCUCGUGAAUUCAUCUCCGGGGGUAGAGCA
RNAcentral lists this ribosomal RNA (314 nucleotides) under Salmonella enterica subsp. arizonae serovar 18:z4,z23:-. Its description in RNAcentral is "bacterial LSU rRNA". It matches the Rfam family "Bacterial large subunit ribosomal RNA", at positions 593 to 909 of the family's 2925-position model. The record is from RNAcentral. Lineage: Bacteria; Pseudomonadati; Pseudomonadota; Gammaproteobacteria; Enterobacterales; Enterobacteriaceae. RNAcentral also lists the same sequence under 14 other names.